UAGCUUGGCGCUCCUUCCGUGCAGG
This 25-nucleotide unclassified non-coding RNA is filed under the name Mus musculus (house mouse). Its description in RNAcentral is "oocyte_clustered_small_RNA13316". Lineage: Eukaryota; Metazoa; Chordata; Mammalia; Rodentia; Muridae. The record is from RNAcentral.